Molecule: ribosomal RNA, 155 nt
Filed under: Thanatephorus cucumeris
Lineage: Eukaryota; Fungi; Basidiomycota; Agaricomycetes; Cantharellales; Ceratobasidiaceae
Description: 5.8S ribosomal RNA
Rfam family: 5.8S ribosomal RNA
About the family: 5.8S ribosomal RNA (5.8S rRNA) is a component of the large subunit of the eukaryotic ribosome. It is transcribed by RNA polymerase I as part of the 45S precursor that also contains 18S and 28S rRNA.
Source: RNAcentral
AAGUUUCAACAACGGAUCUCUUGGCUCUCGCAUCGAUGAAGAACGCAGCGAAAUGCGAUAAGUAAUGUGAAUUGCAGAAUUCAGUGAAUCAUCGAAUCUUUGAACGCACCUUGCGCUCCUUGGUAUUUCUUGGAGCAUGCCUGUUUGAGUAUCAU